Molecule: ribosomal RNA, 294 nt
Filed under: uncultured soil bacterium
Lineage: Bacteria
Description: partial 16S ribosomal RNA
Rfam family: Bacterial small subunit ribosomal RNA
Source: RNAcentral
AGGACGAACGCUGGCGGCGUGCUUAACACAUGCAAGUCGAGCGGUAAGGCCUUUCGGGGUACACGAGCGGCGAACGGGUGAGUAACACGUGGGUGGUCUGCCCUGCACUCUGGGAUAAGCCUAGGGAAACUGGGUCUAAUACCGGAUAUGACCUGCUCUCGCAGUGGGGGGUGGUGGAAAGUAUUUAUCGGUGCAGGAUCGGGCCCGCGGCCUAUCAGUCGUUGUUGGGUAGGGUAACUGGCCUAACCGAAGGCGACGGACGGGUACGCCGACCUGAGGAGGGUGACCGGCCAC